Molecule: long non-coding RNA, 656 nt
Filed under: Marmota monax (woodchuck)
Lineage: Eukaryota; Metazoa; Chordata; Mammalia; Rodentia; Sciuridae
Source: RNAcentral
AAAACACCCUCUUAUUACCAUACUGUGCUAUAGAAAGCAAAAAUUUAUUCAUCCUAUUCAACUGUACCCCUGUACCCUGUUACUCAUUCUCUCUUCAUUCCUCUCUCCCCCUAAUCAUUCUUAGUCUCUGGUAACCACUAUCUACUGACUACCUGAAGUCAAUUUGGGGGGUACUUUCACAUGUAAGUGAGAACACACAGUUUAAUGAGGGGCAAGAGAGAACUGUAAAAGGAGCCAGAGAAAGAUUGGCCACUACUGAAAUCACCUAACUCUUGAUCUCCUUCUCUAUUCCAUGAUCAAGAUGCCUGAUCACAUCUAGGUCUUUGGAUUUUCCUCCCUCUUUGGGACUUGGGGUCAGAAUUGUGUUGAGUUGAACUUAAAAGAAGUAGAACGGGGUAGAGAUGAACUUUAAAAGAAAAGGGGUAACAGGGUGAUGGUGGAGAUGGAGCCAGCUACUCUGUGCUCAGGGAGGCUGAAUUCUCCACAGAGACAGGGAGAAAGACAAGGAAACUCCAAACAUCCAAUCUAAAGUAGCAGAUGGAAAGGAAAACACCGGAAGUGAGGGACCUGCCAUGGAGAGGGAAGGUAGAGGCAGGGAAGGGGAGAGUUGUGGAAGGCCAACCUCAUGAAUUGGGCAGCCCAGAAAUGUCUGUAAG